RNAcentral lists this small nucleolar RNA (135 nucleotides) under Dasypus novemcinctus (nine-banded armadillo). RNAcentral describes it as "Small nucleolar RNA SNORA70 (ENSDNOG00000034213.1)". It matches the Rfam family "Small nucleolar RNA SNORA70". Rfam says of the family: snoRNA U70 seems to be exclusive to mammals and is a member of the H/ACA class of snoRNA which contain H (ANANNA) and ACA box motifs. H/ACA box snoRNAs are involved in the conversion of uridines to pseudouridines (5-ribosyluracil) a constituent of structural RNAs (transfer, ribosomal, small nuclear, and small nucleolar). Lineage: Eukaryota; Metazoa; Chordata; Mammalia; Cingulata; Dasypodidae. The record is from RNAcentral.
CUGCAGCUAAUACUGCCGACUGGCCAUCUCUCCCUGUGGGGGCCUGGGAUGCAGUGGCUACAGACAGCUGCCUUCUUGGUAGUGUACGUGGCCUGUUGCUUAUACAGGUUGCUCUAAGGGACCUUGGAGACAGCC